Molecule: long non-coding RNA, 2618 nt
Organism: Xiphias gladius (swordfish)
Lineage: Eukaryota; Metazoa; Chordata; Actinopteri; Istiophoriformes; Xiphiidae
Exons: 3
Source: RefSeq, a predicted model, not a curated record
GCGCGCUCCAGAGAAAUUUCCCACAAAAUGGCUGCCAAAACAAAUCCACCGCGGACACUCACACAAGGAACUUCCAGAAGUUAGUCCUCAAAGAUAGAUGUGGAUGCGUAAUUAUUUUUCAUGUAGAAAAUAUGACUACCCGAACAUAACUCCCGUGGCAUUUGUGUAAAAACUUCAGAGAAAAGAGGAACUUUGGCGAGAGCUGACAGUGUUAACACUGUAGGAAACCUGGCUGGUUUCCUCCGCAUACAUUUAACUUAAUAGAUUAUACAGCCAACAAAGAAGCCAAUUUACCUCAAAGCAGAGAACGGCAGCUACAAAUGUCUGCCACUGUACCUUUGACCCAGGUUUUACAAUAUCCCGCACUGCAAGGCUACCUACAGAUACCACAGAACUACUGCAGUAUACUUCAAGGUUGGAAAUCAACUCCGAGGAUAUACAAACUUAUUUUAAAGAGAAAAAUUAUCAACCAAACUGUCCAUUGUACAACAUUCACCACACUUUACGAUGGAGGGAUGACUCGCAUCAUUCCAGAUCCUGGAUCCUAGUGCUUAGACCACUACAACAUAUCCAUAACUGAUAGAAAUUAUAGCCCUAGAAAUUAUAGCCCAAACUAUGAAAAUAUGACCCAGGUUGUAAUAAAGCAAAAUUAUCAUUAAGUAGUUACAUCCCUACCUUGCAUCUAGAGGUGUAUAUGUAGGUCUAUUUUUUUUUUUAACAUAAAUUUGUAAAUAAGUAUAGUGAGUAGAUUAUUGUCUUGAACCAACUGUUUUGGCUCCGAAUGCAGAUUUAUAUUAAAACCUUGCAAGAGGCAUGCAACAAAUGACUGUUAAACAAAUACAUAAACACAUGAAUAGGUUAGACACAGCCAAGUGGAGGAGCCAGAGAGAUUAUGAACAGCCAAACCUGACAGCACAGGUUGUGUGUCCUCAAAUCACACUUUGCUACUAUAUCAGAAUUCGCAAAUUCAUUUUAGGCCAUGUGUGUCAUAUAUGGUGAAAAUUUUACUUGUUAAAAACAGUCCACCAGAUGGAGCUGUUUACCAAAGUUAAUGCAGGUGCGGGCAGUGCUGCCAUAUUCAGCUCCAGCUGUAAUGCAAUGGUCUUUUUCAACCAAAGAAACCACGAAGCUUCAGGAACUACAAUUCCCCUUUAAAUAUUCCUAUUUGUGUUUGGCAUCAAUUACCAGCCUGGUUGGGAUGAAAAGACUGAAAUCCUUAUGGAUACAUAAACCUAAAGAUAUAUCAAGAAUAGCAUAAUUUAAUUAUGGACCUCUCAAUAAGGAAGUUGUGUUAGUUAAUAUGAUUAUAUAUUUAAAAUAUAUAAUUAAUAUGAUUAUAUAUUUAAAAUUUCAAAACCUAUACAAAUAUUAGAAAACAAUUUCAAGAACAGGACAAAAUUAUCAAAUGGCCUGGGAAGAAAAAACAAACAAAGAAAACACCACCGAAUAAAAAACCUAGGGUAAGGUACAAAACUCUACAGCUACUCGAGAACAAAGGGGUCUUCCGGGUUAGAAGGUUUAUUAUAAGAGAGUGCAACUAAUGGCUUUAAUUGAUUGGUUCACACCUUACCAUAAAAGAGAUGAAAAAACAUUGAGCAAGCAAUGGGAAAAGGAACAUCACUUAAUACAGUGAUUGGUGAGCCGUCACUAUCCAUAACCAACUGUUCGAUAACAAUAAGCUGAGGGUUAUUGGUUCAGACAGACAUUGACAAAACAUUUUUUUUAAAGUGAUAGUAGAAAAUGAGCUACUUAUAUUUAUGAGAGUACAUGAAGAUGGACCUUACAUAAAUGUAAUUUCAAAAUUAUACUUGAGCCUUGAACAACUUAAGAAACAAAUGACUAACGACGUUAAAACAAAUCAUUGAAAUCAGACUAACUCUUUGAGAUCUUAUGGACACAUCAUUUUCAUGUAUUUUGGAGCUGUGGCUCUGCAGCUCCGUUUUGGACCAAAAUUUAAAAUCUCCUGGAAACUGUCCUCCAAACCAAAACUUCAAGUUGUGAGCUGAUGUACCCAAUUAAAUUGGAGAUCUUGAAUGAGGGAAGAAGGAAAAAUAUUUGUUGAAAAUAUCAUUUGAGUCUUUUAAGAAAUCCCUGUCUAAGAAUUAGCUGAAGAAAGAAAUACCUUGGUUUGACGAAUGGAUCGACUUGAUGUACAAUAUUUAUGUGAUGGGGAAAAUUACUUACAACUUGACAACAAGGAAGGAAACAUUUGUUGGGAUCUGCACAAAAUUGUUUUGUUUUUUUUUUCAUUUUUCAGACCAGACAUAAAAUGCAUCAGAAACACAUUGUAACUCUUCGUCUCCCGUUAUUAUAGGUUAACUUGUUAAUUAUUUAUUCAUUCCCCCUGUAAUUUUUUUUCGCGUUUCUUCCUAAUGUUUAAAAUGUCCACAAGUUUGUAUGGUGUUUGGUUAUGUAGUUUGUUAAAUUAUGUAAAUUAUUUUUUAAAGUAAAUAAAAAGAAAAUUACAAAAGAAACAAAAGAUGAAAAGCACCAUUUUAGAGGUGCCAAACACAUGGUUUGACAUACAGUUGAGACCGGAAGUAUUUGGAGAGUUAAAUUUUUUUGUUCUUCAGGCUUUGGGCUUCAGCACAUUCAAUUUGAAAUAAAACAAUGGAUAC